UUGAUCCUGCCGGACCCGACUGCUAUCAGAAUAGGACUAAGCCAUGCGAGUCAACGUAGCAAUACGUGGCAUACGGCUCAGUAACACGUAGUCAACAUGCCCAGGGGACGUGGAUAACCUCGGGAAACUGAGGAUAAACCGCGAUAGGUCAUAAUAUCUGGAAUGAUUUCUGGCUAAAAUCUAUAUGGCCCCUGGAUUGGACUGCGGCCGAUCAGGCUGUUGGUGAGGUAAUGGCCCACCAAACCUAAAACCGGUACGGGCUCUGAGAGGAGAAGCCCGGAGAUGGGCACUGAGACAAGGGCCCAGGCCCUAUGGGGCGCAGCAGGCGCGAAAACUCUGCAAUAAGCGAAAGCUUGACAGGGUUAUUCUGAGUGAUUUCCGCUAAGGAAAUCUUUUGGCACCUCUAAAAAUGGUGCAGAAUAAGGGGUGGGCAAGCCUGGUGUCAGCCGCCGCGGUAAUACCAGCACCCCGAGUGGUCGGGACGAUUAUUGGGCCUAAAGCAUCCGUAGCCGGUUUUACAAGUCCUCCGUUAAAUCCAACUGCUUAACAGAUGGGCCGCGGAGGAUACUAUAAGACUAGGAGGCAGGAGAGGCAAGCGGUACUCAGUGGGUAGGGGUAAAAUCCGUUGAUCCAUUGAAGACCACCAGUGGCGAAGGCGGCUUGCCAGAAUGCGCUCGACGGUGAGGGAUGAAAGCUGGGGGAGCAAACCGGAUUAGAUACC
Molecule: ribosomal RNA, 721 nt
Filed under: uncultured Nitrososphaerota archaeon
Lineage: Archaea; Thermoproteati; Nitrososphaerota
Description: bacterial SSU rRNA
Rfam family: Archaeal small subunit ribosomal RNA
Source: RNAcentral